This 1333-nucleotide ribosomal RNA is filed under the name Bacillus amyloliquefaciens. Its description in RNAcentral is "bacterial SSU rRNA". It matches the Rfam family "Bacterial small subunit ribosomal RNA", at positions 165 to 1464 of the family's 1533-position model. Lineage: Bacteria; Bacillati; Bacillota; Bacilli; Caryophanales; Bacillaceae. The record is from RNAcentral.
AAUAACCGGGGUGGUUUUUUACAACCGCCUGGUUUAAAACAUAAAAAGGGGGGUUUUGGUUUCCACUUUAAGGGGCGCCCGCGGGGGCCUAUAAGUUAGUUGGUGAGAUAACGGCUCACACAGGGGAACCGUUGGUUAGCCCACCUGGAGAGGUUGUUGGGCCCAAAGGGGGAAUGAACACCCGGCCCAGAAUUUCUUGGGGGGGGGCAGCGGUAGGGAAUUUUUCCCACAGGGAAGAAAUUUUGAGGGAGCAACGCCGCUUGAGUGAUGAAGGUUUUCGGAUUCGAAAAGUUCUGUUGUUAGGGAAGAACAAGUGCCGUUCAAAUAGGGCGGCACCUUGACGGUACCUAACCAGAAAGCCACGGCUAACUACGUGCCAGCAGCCGCGGUAAUACGUAGGUGGCAAGCGUUGUCCGGAAUUAUUGGGCGUAAAGGGCUCGCAGGCGGUUUCUUAAGUCUGAUGUGAAAGCCCCCGGCUCAACCGGGGAGGGUCAUUGGAAACUGGGGAACUUGAGUGCAGAAGAGGAGAGUGGAAUUCCACGUGUAGCGGUGAAAUGCGUAGAGAUGUGGAGGAACACCAGUGGCGAAGGCGACUCUCUGGUCUGUAACUGACGCUGAGGAGCGAAAGCGUGGGGAGCGAACAGGAUUAGAUACCCUGGUAGUCCACGCCGUAAACGAUGAGUGCUAAGUGUUAGGGGGUUUCCGCCCCUUAGUGCUGCAGCUAACGCAUUAAGCACUCCGCCUGGGGAGUACGGUCGCAAGACUGAAACUCAAAGGAAUUGACGGGGGCCCGCACAAGCGGUGGAGCAUGUGGUUUAAUUCGAAGCAACGCGAAGAACCUUACCAGGUCUUGACAUCCUCUGACAAUCCUAGAGAUAGGACGUCCCCUUCGGGGGCAGAGUGACAGGUGGUGCAUGGUUGUCGUCAGCUCGUGUCGUGAGAUGUUGGGUUAAGUCCCGCAACGAGCGCAACCCUUGAUCUUAGUUGCCAGCAUUCAGUUGGGCACUCUAAGGUGACUGCCGGUGACAAACCGGAGGAAGGUGGGGAUGACGUCAAAUCAUCAUGCCCCUUAUGACCUGGGCUACACACGUGCUACAAUGGACAGAACAAAGGGCAGCGAAACCGCGAGGUUAAGCCAAUCCCACAAAUCUGUUCUCAGUUCGGAUCGCAGUCUGCAACUCGACUGCGUGAAGCUGGAAUCGCUAGUAAUCGCGGAUCAGCAUGCCGCGGUGAAUACGUUCCCGGGCCUUGUACACACCGCCCGUCACACCACGAGAGUUUGUAACACCCGAAGUCGGUGAGGUAACCUUUUAGGAGCCAGCCGCCGAAGGAA